UGGGGUGUGGCUUAAUGGUAUAGCGCUUGCCUAGCAUGUGUGAGGCACUGGGUUCAAUACUCAGCACCACAU
Molecule: non-coding RNA, 72 nt
Organism: Ictidomys tridecemlineatus (thirteen-lined ground squirrel)
Lineage: Eukaryota; Metazoa; Chordata; Mammalia; Rodentia; Sciuridae
Source: Rfam